This 286-nucleotide long non-coding RNA is filed under the name Phoenix dactylifera (date palm). RNAcentral's name for it is "long non-coding RNA (PDAC_LNC000252)". The record is from RNAcentral. Lineage: Eukaryota; Viridiplantae; Streptophyta; Magnoliopsida; Arecales; Arecaceae.
ACCCCUUUUUCUUUUUUCUCUUUCUUAUAUCUAUAUCUCAACUGGAUCGUGACGAAAGGUUGAGGAGUCUCAUACUCUAGUACACCUAUUCCGGAAAGAGAUAGACCGAAAGUAGAGCUCCUGUUAAUCGAGUCAAAGCCAUUGGGACCUAGCUCGGAUGAAUCAUUCGAAUCUAAUCUGGUUCUGGUGAUUGCGUCUAGUAAGGAAUGGGCCGAGUUGUUGGACGAAGAUAAGAAAACAACCCCUUACCAUAGUAGGGCUAUGUUCACUGGAACUAUACGGUUNN